UUCCUUAUUAAUAAAACAAUAAAAAUAAAACAAUAAAACAAAUCUACAUGACAGCUUGGGAUUUCUGUCCAGCUGCAAAUGCCACUAGUGCAAAACGAACCACAUCUACGGUAUGUAGUUUUCUACAGUGCCUUAAUGGUAAGAAAUUAGACUACCUAAUUCUAUAACUGCAAAAUGCAUUGCACAGACCCCUAACAGUAUAUUCCUAAACAGAGGGAAAAAAGUAGAAAUUAUUAUAUAUGGGAAGUUAAUUAUCAACACAAACAACUAUGUUUUUUAACUUCUCAGUGCUAUUUUGACUACUUCGAGAUAGGAAUCUCCCUCCAAAGUUAGCAGUCAUUGAAUUAGCCACGAGAUGGAGCCCAAAGGACCUGUGAGCCAGUAGUUAGCAUUGCCCUCUGGAAUCAUAACAAAAUAUCGGUGUCUUUAUUAUAUUGAAGAACACUUUACAGGAUGCUUAAGCUACAGACAAGGUACUCUUCAUUGUAAAUCCACUCCUGCCUAAAGAUAUUUUUUUAUUUAUUACCAUGGUUAUACAUUGGUAGGCUUUGACUUCCCCUGUUGAAACAGCCAAACCUAGGCAUUUUCAAGGAAUAUUAAUGAAUGUGGAAUAUUCAUGAAAUAUAGAAAAUGGUCUGGAAAAUCGACAUCAAUUAGCUGAAAUUUGGUUGACCUCUGUUUACCUUGCCUCAGCUAUGUUAGAGUAAUGCACAUUUUGCAUGGUUAUGUGAGACUUAAUUCUCAAAUACACUUCUGUUAUGUGAUGGCCAACUCUUAAUGGAUCGGGCUCCUGUACUUUCAUGUUUCAGAUAUUUCAGUUAGAAUAAAACAUGACUAGGACACACUUUUCAGAGUACCCAUUCAAUGAAAGUAGGAAGUAGUCAAAAGAAUGAUGAGUGCACUGCACUCAAGACCAAUCCAUAUGCUGCAUUUUCCCUGAAUUCAUAAAUUUAAAGCACUUUUUAGAUCCUCAGAUGAGCUAACAAGAGGUUUUACCUCAUACAAAUUUAGAUAUCUAAAGUUAGUCAUAUGAGUUGAAGCUAAUAACUUUCAUCUCAUUUUAAAGUUAUUGGAGAAAAGUAAUCAUCUUCAGAGAGUCAUUCAUCUGUCUGUUUAGAUGUUUAUCAGGAUGCAAAGAAUUGCCCCUUGGAGAUACCCAUGUUUCUGACUUGGCCAAAACAAAGUAUAGAGUUUAGAUCUAGUAAAAUAAAUAAAUAAAAUAAAAUAAAAUAAAAUAAAAUACUGCAAUAAACAUCAUGAUAGUUUCUUGUUUGUGACUUCAACAACCUUCUUCAAAACUUUAAUUUUUCUUUUUUAAGAACCUAACAUCAAAAGAGAAGAAAGGUGAGCAAAAGUAGGCAGUCAUUUAUUGGUCUUAAUAGUAGAUUGAAUAUCUACGGUUAUUGUACUUAGACAUAGACCUAAUGCAAAUAUUUAUAUUUAGCAUUAAGCUGCAAAAUCCAUGUUUAGCAUCCUAACACUUUGUUUUUGUUGUAUUCAUUAUUAAGAUAAGGCACAUAAAACUAAUGAUGCUACCUUACAUUGAUUUGUUUAUUUUUAAAAUACCCACAAUUUUACCUUCAGCAGAAUUUAAUCUAAACCCCGCCAUUAUUGACACCUUUGUAAUCCCUUUAAGGGAAGAGCACAUGAAAACAUCAGAAGCUGAGGAUGAUAUUGAGAGGAAGCUCUUCAGGUCUUUCACCACACGUGCCUAAAGAUGAAAUGCAUUAAUACAGCAUAUGUACCUCAUCUUCAUUUGACUGAAAUUUUAUUCUUUCCAGCUCCGUUGAUGGAAGAUUUGACCUCCUGGGAUUUAAAGACUUAUAGUACUUUAAAGGCAUUAACUUUUAGUGCUAUCAUAUGAGAUUGCUGUUUCAACAAGACUUACAUUUCCCAGUGCAUUUCUAUUGUUUAACUGAUAAACUGGGAAACAGAGAAAGAUUGGGAUCAUUAGUGAUGCUCCCUACAGGCAUGCAUCUCAGAUUCAAGUUGAAGCAAUUCCUCUCAUUAAAAAUCAUUUUAAAAUGUU
This is a long non-coding RNA of Oxyura jamaicensis (ruddy duck), 2029 nucleotides long. RefSeq lists it as uncharacterized. The transcript has 2 exons. The record is from RefSeq and is a predicted model, not a curated record. NCBI's taxonomy places the organism in Eukaryota, Metazoa, Chordata, Aves, Anseriformes, Anatidae.